GUUGUAUGGUUAAGUGACUAAGCGUACACGGUGGAUGCCUUGGCAGUCAGAGGCGAUGAAGGACGUAUUAACUUGCGAUAAGCCCAGAUUAGGCAGUAAAAGCCACUUGAGUCUGGGAUUUCCGAAUGGGGAAACCCACUUACAUAAGUAAGUAUCAUUAACUGAAUACAUAGGUUAAUGAGGCGAACCGGGGGAACUGAAACAUCUAAGUACCCCGAGGAAAAGAAAUCAACCGAGAUUCCGAAAGUAG
This 250-nucleotide ribosomal RNA is filed under the name Vibrio parahaemolyticus. RNAcentral's name for it is "partial 23S ribosomal RNA". It matches the Rfam family "Bacterial large subunit ribosomal RNA", at positions 1 to 246 of the family's 2925-position model. The record is from RNAcentral. Lineage: Bacteria; Pseudomonadati; Pseudomonadota; Gammaproteobacteria; Vibrionales; Vibrionaceae.